This 253-nucleotide ribosomal RNA is filed under the name uncultured bacterium. Its description in RNAcentral is "partial 16S ribosomal RNA". It matches the Rfam family "Bacterial small subunit ribosomal RNA", at positions 524 to 776 of the family's 1533-position model. The record is from RNAcentral.
UACGUAGGGGGCAAGCGUUGUCCGGAUUUAUUGGGCGUAAAGAGCGUGUAGGCGGCUUUACAGGUCCGUUGUGAAAACUCGAGGCUCAACCUCGAGACGCCGGUGGAAACCGUAAAGCUAGAGUCCGGAAGAGGAGAGUGGAAUUCCUGGUGUAGCGGUGAAAUGCGCAGAUAUCAAGAAGAACACCCGUGGCGAAGGCGGCUCUCUGGGACGGUACUGACGCUGAGACGCGAAAGCGUGGGGAGCGAACAGG